CCCAUCCAGGCUUGGCCUUUCUUUGCCGUAAUGGACGCCCCUUUCUUUGUCCCUCACACUGGGCAUGUGGUGUUUCCAUCCAAAAUCAGGACAGGGCGUCUGUCUGUGGCAUCAGUGUCCCCAGGCCUGGCUGAGGGCUCCUGCUCGUGACUGGCCAGCUUUCUCCAUUAUAUUCUAUGGUGUGCUGGUCACUGUCAACCAGCUGUCCCAGGCUUCCGGCCCUGGGCCCCGGCCGUGGCGAUUCCCAGGUGUGAAUGUGAACGCUCUGCACGGCAGCAGAGAGUCCCUUGCCUGCCUCGUCCUCUCAGCUGCAGCCCCUGCGGCAGACUGGGCUUGACUCUUCUUGGGACGCUCAGCAGGGACGAGCCUGAGCCUGCAGGGUUUCCAUAAGCGUGUGUGGACUGAAAUGUGGAUGGAUGGACAGUCAG
RNAcentral lists this long non-coding RNA (428 nucleotides) under Homo sapiens (human). RNAcentral describes it as "HSALNT0170600". Lineage: Eukaryota; Metazoa; Chordata; Mammalia; Primates; Hominidae. The record is from RNAcentral.